UCAGUGCAUGACAGAACUUGG
RNAcentral lists this non-coding RNA (21 nucleotides) under Chrysemys picta bellii (western painted turtle). Lineage: Eukaryota; Metazoa; Chordata; Testudines; Emydidae. The record is from RNAcentral. RNAcentral also lists the same sequence under 28 other names.